UCUCACUAUUCUUCAAUUUCAAAUUGACUUGAGCAUCGAAGGAUCUCCAUCGAAAGAUAUUUCUAUCAGAGAGUCUUUGGAGGUCUAGCUCCAGCACCCAGGAGUUAUCCUCUUUAGCACCUCAUCUCUAGCCGAAGAUCUUUCUCCUCAUCUUUUUUCGAGGAGCCCCAAUUGAGGAGUUUACUAACUAGCCUUCGUUUGAGGAG
RNAcentral lists this long non-coding RNA (206 nucleotides) under Elaeis guineensis (African oil palm). RNAcentral describes it as "long non-coding RNA (EGUI_LNC036364)". Lineage: Eukaryota; Viridiplantae; Streptophyta; Magnoliopsida; Arecales; Arecaceae. The record is from RNAcentral.